This 2100-nucleotide ribosomal RNA is filed under the name Escherichia coli. Its description in RNAcentral is "partial 23S ribosomal RNA". It matches the Rfam family "Bacterial large subunit ribosomal RNA", at positions 418 to 2503 of the family's 2925-position model. The record is from RNAcentral. Lineage: Bacteria; Pseudomonadati; Pseudomonadota; Gammaproteobacteria; Enterobacterales; Enterobacteriaceae.
CGGGACACGUGGUAUCCUGUCUGAAUAUGGGGGGACCAUCCUCCAAGGCUAAAUACUCCUGACUGACCGAUAGUGAACCAGUACCGUGAGGGAAAGGCGAAAAGAACCCCGGCGAGGGGAGUGAAAAAGAACCUGAAACCGUGUACGUACAAGCAGUGGGAGCACGCUUAGGCGUGUGACUGCGUACCUUUUGUAUAAUGGGUCAGCGACUUAUAUUCUGUAGCAAGGUUAACCGAAUAGGGGAGCCGAAGGGAAACCGAGUCUUAACUGGGCGUUAAGUUGCAGGGUAUAGACCCGAAACCCGGUGAUCUAGCCAUGGGCAGGUUGAAGGUUGGGUAACACUAACUGGAGGACCGAACCGACUAAUGUUGAAAAAUUAGCGGAUGACUUGUGGCUGGGGGUGAAAGGCCAAUCAAACCGGGAGAUAGCUGGUUCUCCCCGAAAGCUAUUUAGGUAGCGCCUCGUGAAUUCAUCUCCGGGGGUAGAGCACUGUUUCGGCAAGGGGGUCAUCCCGACUUACCAACCCGAUGCAAACUGCGAAUACCGGAGAAUGUUAUCACGGGAGACACACGGCGGGUGCUAACGUCCGUCGUGAAGAGGGAAACAACCCAGACCGCCAGCUAAGGUCCCAAAGUCAUGGUUAAGUGGGAAACGAUGUGGGAAGGCCCAGACAGCCAGGAUGUUGGCUUAGAAGCAGCCAUCAUUUAAAGAAAGCGUAAUAGCUCACUGGUCGAGUCGGCCUGCGCGGAAGAUGUAACGGGGCUAAACCAUGCACCGAAGCUGCGGCAGCGACGCUGAUGCGUUGUUGGGUAGGGGAGCGUUCUGUAAGCCUGUGAAGGUGUGCUGUGAGGCAUGCUGGAGGUAUCAGAAGUGCGAAUGCUGACAUAAGUAACGAUAAAGCGGGUGAAAAGCCCGCUCGCCGGAAGACCAAGGGUUCCUGUCCAACGUUAAUCGGGGCAGGGUGAGUCGACCCCUAAGGCGAGGCCGAAAGGCGUAGUCGAUGGGAAACAGGUUAAUAUUCCUGUACUUGGUGUUACUGCGAAGGGGGGACGGAGAAGGCUAUGUUGGCCGGGCGACGGUUGUCCCGGUUUAAGCGUGUAGGCUGGUUUUCCAGGCAAAUCCGGAAAAUCAAGGCUGAGGCGUGAUGACGAGGCACUACGGUGCUGAAGCAACAAAUGCCCUGCUUCCAGGAAAAGCCUCUAAGCAUCAGGUAACAUCAAAUCGUACCCCAAACCGACACAGGUGGUCAGGUAGAGAAUACCAAGGCGCUUGAGAGAACUCGGGUGAAGGAACUAGGCAAAAUGGUGCCGUAACUUCGGGAGAAGGCACGCUGAUAUGUAGGUGAAGCGACUUGCUCGUGGAGCUGAAAUCAGUCGAAGAUACCAGCUGGCUGCAACUGUUUAUUAAAAACACAGCACUGUGCAAACACGAAAGUGGACGUAUACGGUGUGACGCCUGCCCGGUGCCGGAAGGUUAAUUGAUGGGGUCAGCGCAAGCGAAGCUCUUGAUCGAAGCCCCGGUAAACGGCGGCCGUAACUAUAACGGUCCUAAGGUAGCGAAAUUCCUUGUCGGGUAAGUUCCGACCUGCACGAAUGGCGUAAUGAUGGCCAGGCUGUCUCCACCCGAGACUCAGUGAAAUUGAACUCGCUGUGAAGAUGCAGUGUACCCGCGGCAAGACGGAAAGACCCCGUGAACCUUUACUAUAGCUUGACACUGAACAUUGAGCCUUGAUGUGUAGGAUAGGUGGGAGGCUUUGAAGUGUGGACGCCAGUCUGCAUGGAGCCGGCCUUGAAAUACCACCCUUUAAUGUUUGAUGUUCUAACGUUGACCCGUGAUCCGGGUUGCGGACAGUGUCUGGUGGGUAGUUUGACUGGGGCGGUCUCCUCCUAAAGAGUAACGGAGGAGCACGAAGGUUGGCUAAUCCUGGUCGGACAUCAGGAGGUUAGUGCAAUGGCAUAAGCCAGCUUGACUGCGAGCGUGACGGCGCGAGCAGGUGCGAAAGCAGGUCAUAGUGAUCCGGUGGUUCUGAAUGGAAGGGCCAUCGCUCAACGGAUAAAAGGUACUCCGGGGAUAACAGGCUGAUACCGCCCAAGAGUUCAU